CCUACGGGGGGCAGCAGUGGGGAAUAUUGGACAAUGGGGGCAACCCUGAUCCAGCCAUGCCGCGUGUGUGAAGAAGGCCCUCGGGUUGUAAAGCACUUUCAGAGGAAGAACGCCUGUUGGUUAAUACCCAUCAGGAAAGACAUCACUCACAGAAGAAGCACCGGCUAACUCCGUGCCAGCAGCCGCGGUAAUACGGAGGGUGCGAGCGUUAAUCGGAAUUACUGGGCGUAAAGCGCGCGUAGGUGGCUUGAUAAGCCGGUUGUGAAAGCCCCGGGCUCAACCUGGGAACGGCAUCCGGAACUGUCAAGCUAGAGUGCAGGAGAGGAAGGUAGAAUUCCCGGUGUAGCGGUGAAAUGCGUAGAGAUCGGGAGGAAUACCGGUGGCGAAGGCGGCCUUCUGGACUGACACUGACACUGAGGUGCGAAAGCGUGGGUAGCAAACAGGAUUAGAUACCCCGGUAGUC
This 463-nucleotide ribosomal RNA is filed under the name Vreelandella stevensii. RNAcentral describes it as "partial 16S ribosomal RNA". It matches the Rfam family "Bacterial small subunit ribosomal RNA", at positions 338 to 795 of the family's 1533-position model. Lineage: Bacteria; Pseudomonadati; Pseudomonadota; Gammaproteobacteria; Oceanospirillales; Halomonadaceae. The record is from RNAcentral.